GACGAACGCUGGCGGCGUGCCUAAUACAUGCAAGUCGAGCGAAGUUUUUCUGGUGCUUGCACUAGAAAAACUUAGCGGCGAACGGGUGAGUAACACGUAAAGAACCUGCCUCAUAGACUGGGACAACUAUUGGAAACGAUAGCUAAUACCGGAUAACAGUAUUUCUCGCAUGAGAGAUAUUUAAAAGUUGGUUAUGCUAACACUAUGAGAUGGCUUUGCGGUGCAUUAGCUAGUUGGUGGGGUAAAGGCCCACCAAGGCGACGAUGCAUAGCCGACCUGAGAGGGUGAUCGGCCACACUGGGACUGAGACACGGCCCAGACUCCUACGGGAGGCAGCAGUAGGGAAUCUUCCGCAAUGGGCGAAAGCCUGACGGAGCAACGCCGCGUGAGUGAAGAAGGAUUUCGGUUCGUAAAGCUCUGUUGUUAGGGAAGAAUGGAUAUGUAGUAACUAUACAUGUACGAGACGGUACC
This 471-nucleotide ribosomal RNA is filed under the name Gemella morbillorum. Its description in RNAcentral is "bacterial SSU rRNA". It matches the Rfam family "Bacterial small subunit ribosomal RNA", at positions 28 to 479 of the family's 1533-position model. Lineage: Bacteria; Bacillati; Bacillota; Bacilli; Caryophanales; Gemellaceae. The record is from RNAcentral.